RNAcentral lists this ribosomal RNA (441 nucleotides) under uncultured bacterium. RNAcentral describes it as "partial 16S ribosomal RNA". It matches the Rfam family "Bacterial small subunit ribosomal RNA", at positions 338 to 795 of the family's 1533-position model. The record is from RNAcentral.
CCUACGGGCGGCAGCAGUGGGGAAUAUUGCACAAUGGGGGAAACCCUGAUGCAGCGACGCCGCGUGGGCGAGGAAGUACCUCGGUAGGUAAAGCCCUAUCAGCAGGGAAGAAACAGGACAGUACCUGACUAAGAAGCCCCGGCUAACUACGUGCCAACAGCAGCGGUAAUACGUAGGGGGCAAGCGUUAUCCGGAUUCACUGGGCGUAAAGGGAGCGCAGGCGGCAUGGCAAGUCUGAUGUGAAAACCCGGGGCCCAACCCCGGGAGUGCAUUGGAAACUGCCAGGCUGGAUUGUCGGAGGGGUAAGCGGAAUUCCUAGUGUAGCGGUGAAAUGCGUAGAUAUUAGGAGGAACACCAGUGGCGAAGGCGGCUUACUGGACGACUACUGACGCUGAGGCUCGAAAGCGUGGGGAGCAAACAGGAUUAGAUACCCUUGUAGUC